RNAcentral lists this ribosomal RNA (624 nucleotides) under uncultured Actinomycetes bacterium. RNAcentral's name for it is "bacterial SSU rRNA". It matches the Rfam family "Bacterial small subunit ribosomal RNA", at positions 252 to 866 of the family's 1533-position model. The record is from RNAcentral. Lineage: Bacteria; Bacillati; Actinomycetota; Actinomycetes.
GUGAGGCAACGGCUCACCAAGGCGACGACGGGUAGCUGGUCUGAGAGGAUGAUCAGCCACAUUGGGACUGAGAUACGGCCCAGACUCCUACGGGAGGCAGCAGUGGGGAAUAUUGCGCAAUGGCCGCAAGGCUGACGCAGCGACGCCGUGUGUGGGAUGAAGGCCUUCGGGUUGUAAACCACUGUCAGGGGGGACGAAUACCCGGCCUCGAAUAGGGGACCGGGGGUGACGGUACCCCCAGAGGAAGCACCGGCUAACUCCGUGCCAGCAGCCGCGGUAAUACGGAGGGUGCGAGCGUUGUCCGGAAUCACUGGGCGUAAAGCGCGCGUAGGCGGCCGUUUAAGUCACUUGUGAAAUCCCGGGGCUCAACUCCGGGCCUGCAGGUGAUCCUGAAUGGCUCGAGCUCGGUAGAGGCGAGUGGAAUUCCCGGUGUAGCGGUGGAAUGCGUAGAUAUCGGGAAGAACACCAGUGGCGAAGGCGGCUCGCUGGGCCGUAGCUGACGCUGAGGCGCGAAAGCGUGGGGAGCAAACAGGAUUAGAUACCCAGGUAGUCCACGCCGUAAACGAUGGGUACUAGGCGUCGGGGGGAGCGACCCCCUCGGUGCCGCAGCUAACGCAUUAAGUA